CGACAUUCAGCGUUUAAAUACUUCGCCACUGCAACGUUGCUGUCUCUUUUGAAAUCGUCUGGCAGUCUGGGCUGUCGCAUGCGUGUUAGUCCCCGGGAAGUGUGAUUCAACUUGUUUAGAGUGGUCAGUAAAAUACAAGAAUACAGUCCUAAUUGUUCAAACAGCACGGUAGUUGAGCUGUAGUUUGUGACUUUAGUUCAAACGUGGUCUCUGCUAGCGUAAAGUGUUAACGUUAGCGUUGUCGUGACGGGCCUCAAGCAGCCACGUGGAUCCUGCGUGAAGCCCACUCAAAGAUGGACAAGAUGAAGACAAAGUGGAUGUCCCUCUGGGCAGGUGUUGCACUUGAUAUAUGGGGUGUGUUGAUGUCCCUGCAAGACUGGUCAGAAGAAUGGGUCUCGUCAAGAUGGAGACUUGUGAGCUGCCAUAGGAGGUUAUGCUUCAUAUGGUCCUAACAGUGAACUGAAGAUGAUUCAUUUCAAGCAGCUGAAAAGACUUGUGAGCUGCAAAAGAGAGAUGUCUCCAUGCAGCGCUUCGUAUGCUCCAACUAAACCAGCUGACUGAAGAUGUUGAUUUCGUGCAGGUUGGCCUGGUGGCAUAAGAUUUCUCCUGAAAGAAAGGGACUCGUGGGCUACACCUUUUGAGACGGGCCUUGUGUCAUUCUGCCAGUCUGCUGCAGUCCCCUGAAGUCUGUUUGAAUUGACAGAAUUGGAUCAAGUGGUUGCGGCAACUGUCGGUAUACCUGCAAGCUACAUGUGAUGACAAGAUGACUCAUGGACACUGGUCUCAAGAUGGAUGUCAACAUGUUUGUUGAAAAGUAGUUUACAAUGUAGACUGGUUAAUGUUAAGAUUGCAAUAAAGUGUCUAAGCAGCCUGAUAACUGAAA
Long non-coding RNA from Sander lucioperca (pikeperch), 883 nucleotides. RefSeq lists it as uncharacterized. The transcript has 9 exons. Lineage: Eukaryota; Metazoa; Chordata; Actinopteri; Perciformes; Percidae. The record is from RefSeq and is a predicted model, not a curated record.